AUGCUACUCCCCAGCCUGCUGAGAGCAGUGAUAGCCUCCCUCUGCCUUGGAUCCAGCAUGACACAGAAGGUAACUCAAGCCCAGUCUGCCAUCUCUACACUGGAGAAUGAGACUGUGACCUUGGAUUGUGUAUACGAAGUUAGUGGUUUGACUUAUUAUUUAUUCUGGUACAAACAACCACCAAGUGGGGAAAUGAUUUUCCUUAUUCAUCAGGAGUCAUACAUGGAGCAGAAUGCAACAGAGGGUCGGUAUUCUCUGAACUUGCAGAAAUCAGACCAUUCCAUCAACCUCACCAUCACAGCAUUACAGCUUGCGGACUCAGCAGUGUAUUUCUGUGCUCUGAGAGACAACACAGUGAUGCAGCACCAGAGGGAGGCUCACAAAAACCUCAGAUCUCCACAGGAGGCAUCCCCCAGCUCUGAACACCUGGGGAGUGGCGAGUGGAAGGAAGAAGCAGGGGCUGCACUUAUGGGGGUGGGGAUUCUGAGGUGGAUGCUUCACUGGAAGGAAAAUGCUAUUUCCCUGGCUCAGAGAGCAUAUCAAACAGUGUCAUUCAACAAAAGCAUCUUUAUCUUCAAUUCUUUACUUUGCAAUAGAUCAUUUAGCAACAGAUUAAAAGGAAUUUGUUGGUGA
Non-coding RNA from Neogale vison (American mink), 633 nucleotides. The record is from the annotation of a RefSeq genome assembly. Lineage: Eukaryota; Metazoa; Chordata; Mammalia; Carnivora; Mustelidae.